Molecule: ribosomal RNA, 258 nt
Filed under: uncultured bacterium
Lineage: Bacteria
Description: partial 16S ribosomal RNA
Rfam family: Bacterial small subunit ribosomal RNA
Source: RNAcentral
CGGCGGACGGGUGAGUAACGCGUGGGUAAUCUGCCCCAUACAGGGGGAUAACAGUUAGAAAUGACUGCUAAUACCGCAUAAGCGCACAGGACCGCAUGGUCCGGUGUGAAAAACUCCGGUGGUAUGAGAUGGACCCGCGUCUGAUUAGCUGGUUGGCGGGGUAACGGCCCACCAAGGCGACGAUCAGUAGCCGACCUGAGAGGGUGGCCGGCCACAUUGGGACUGAGACACGGCCCAAACUCCUACGGAAGGCAGCAG